Molecule: small nucleolar RNA, 140 nt
Organism: Eublepharis macularius
Lineage: Eukaryota; Metazoa; Chordata; Lepidosauria; Squamata; Eublepharidae
Product: small nucleolar RNA SNORA64/SNORA10 family
Exons: 1
Source: RefSeq, a predicted model, not a curated record
ACUCUCUCAGCUCUGCCCAGUUGCACCUGACCUCAGUGGGGCAACUGUCGUUUUUUGAGAGGGAAAGCAAACUGGUUUGCUGUAUGCACGGCAGUGAGGCUUGGCAAGUGGUCUCCCUGUUCCUUUUGAAAGCCAACAUU